Molecule: long non-coding RNA, 698 nt
Filed under: Bemisia tabaci
Lineage: Eukaryota; Metazoa; Arthropoda; Insecta; Hemiptera; Aleyrodidae
Description: lncRNA ENSASIAIIG013303
Source: RNAcentral
AUGGGAAGUGCUUACGAGCCAGCUCAAUGCUAUAGGGAGGACCAAAAAAACAGUCAAGGGCUGGAAACAAUUUGUCACUGCUUCCAGACGUACUCCGACAUGAAAUUAAGAGUAAAGAAAAAGGCAGCAGAUCUGAAGAAUAUGCCAACCGGCAAUCCCCAGGACACGAAAGGCGGUCUCACGGACGAGGAGUAUUCCUUAUACAUUCUUUGCGGAGAGCGCGAUUUGAUCGGCUCCGGGAAAGAAGAUGAGCUCGGUCUGCCUAAUGCCAAUCGUCACCAUCAUCAAGAAGCCGCUGUCUCCGUGAGUGGGCUGGAUGAUAGAGAUGACGACCCAGAUGACCCAGACAACUGGCCUCCACCCUCACCCCCAUCACAACCAAUUCCAGAUGAAUCCAAUGUAGAGGAGCCUUUUUGAGCCGCCACUGCUGGAGUAACAGAAAAGCAGAAAGAAAGUGUCCAAAAAAAAGAAGGCAAAACCAAAGAAAAGUCCACUGCUGGAGUAACAGAAAAGCAGAAAGAAAGCGUCCAAGAAAAAGAAGGCAAAACCAAAGAAAAAGAAGGCAAAACCAAAGAAAAGUGGCAACCGCCCAAAAGUGAGUAACUUAUAACUUUGUCUCUCAUUUGGACUACAUUUUGCAAUUUGGAACUAUAAAUUCUAGCCUGGUUUAAAAACAACGUAUGUGCCAUCAGUUUCCC